CCAACAACGUUGAAAAGAACUAGUAUGUGUAAACGAACUGACAGAGAGAAUACCAGAUGCUGCGAGGUAUUUCAGUGACGAACACAGAACCUAUCUUGGAGUUCUGUAUGAAAAUACAGCGUAAACCGGCGUUAACGGAGAAAGAGGGAGCCACAGGCUAAUUAGGGUGGUACCGCCGAGAACUUCGGUCCCUUAG
RNAcentral lists this non-coding RNA (196 nucleotides) under Clostridiales bacterium. RNAcentral describes it as "T-box sequence". It matches the Rfam family "T-box leader". From Rfam's summary of the family: Uncharged tRNA acts as the effector for transcription antitermination of genes in the T-box leader family. Lineage: Bacteria; Bacillati; Bacillota; Clostridia; Eubacteriales. The record is from RNAcentral.